This 1681-nucleotide unclassified non-coding RNA is filed under the name Gigantopelta aegis. RNAcentral describes it as "malignant fibrous histiocytoma-amplified sequence 1 homolog, transcript variant X3". Lineage: Eukaryota; Metazoa; Mollusca; Gastropoda; Neomphalida; Peltospiridae. The record is from RNAcentral.
UUCAGCGCGUGCCCUGGGCACAUAUCUCAGCUAUUUGAAUUGUUUGUUCAGGACAGUCAGUUCCCGGGAUUAUCAAAACCCUUCGUAAAAUGCGUCUAGCACGAACUUUAGCAAUUGAGAAAAAAGAGGUAGAUACGACGUCCUCCUGACUUUACGGCGGCGUAAAGGUCGACGACGACGUGGUGCCGCCAUUAUCGGUGACAUCAAUGUCAUUUCCGGUAUGAAUUCUAGAACUCGCAGACGGGAAGCUAUAGGUUUACCGGAUCUAGAGCUACUGCGAGGAUUGGGCAGUUUCCUCGGGUCACGUGAUCUAAAGCCGGAUGAGACUAAGAUGGUAGAAUGACGUAGCAGUAACUAUGACUCGACACAAACUGAACAAACUUUCAGUCUUGGGACUCGAUUGCUAGAUCAAUCUCAAAUGUAUUUUAAGUGAUUUAAAUAGUGAACGAUAUGAAAGGUAAUUAUUUACCUGUGUUUAUGCUGAAUGUCAUUCAUAAACAGGUGUGUUUACUAGGGUUACUGUGGAAUGUCAUAAAACGUGAUGCAUGUACGUUAUAAAAACAAUUCAGGAAAAGAGAUAUAUUUUCAAUGUAAAAAAAUUAAUAUUUAAAAAUGACAUUGUGUUAAUGCCGAAUGUCAUGAAAAACAACAACAUUAAUAGUCACAUAUAUUUGUGUUAAUACCAAAUGUUAUAAAAGUUAUGAGUGGAAAUGUGAUAUGUAACGCGAUGGUUUUUCAUAGGAAUAAAAAUGUCAUAAAAAUUAUAAUUACGUUUAAUGUUAAAUUUCAUGAAACGAAGUUGGCGUGUUUGAAUGAUUAAUGUCAUAAAUUAUAUUUAUGUCUGUCGUGCUGAAUGUCAGGAAAAACGACAUUUACGUUUGUUCAGUGUCGUGAAAAAACCCCAAACAUAUUUUGAGUGCGAAUGCUGAAUAUCAUGAAAAGUGACAUGUUAAUCUUCAGUAUCAUGAACAUAUUUUAAUGUGAAUGCUGAAUGUCACGAAAGUAAUACUUCUAUGUCAGACAUUGUAUUCUGUAUUCUGUAUUCCCUUCGCUUUCUGUUAAAGCGGAUAUUUGUGCCAUUUACUUUGCGAACUGUUAUGCUAGGUUCGGGCUAUCAACUGUCACGACGGAGUUGGCCAACUCGAAAGUUGCGUGGUAUUUCCCUCCACUCCCAGCUUACGACGGGUGUGCUCAGAUUGACAACUAAUCGGUCGUAGGAGUUGUAUACGACGAGAAUCGAGUUGUUAGAGUGUUCAGACUAGCAACUGGACAGUCGUAGAAGUCAUCAGAUCGGCGAGUUGGCCAACUUCGCCGUUGUAUUUGGUAGUUUGAGUUUAGCAUUAUGCUAAACUUAGAUUACCAUCUGCCACAAGAAAGUUGGCCAACUUUCUGCUCUUACGAUUUCUACGACUGUCCAGCGCUCUUACAACUCGAUUCUCGUCGUAUAACCCAUUGUUGUUAGUCUGAGCGCUCUUACAACUCGAUUCUCGUCGUAUAACCCAUUGUUGUUAGUCUGAGCGCUCUUACAACUCUGUUCCCAUCGUAUAAUCCAUUGUUGUUAGUCUGAGCGCUCUUACAACUCGAUUCCCGUCGUAUAACCCAUUGUUGUUAGUCUGAGCGCUCUUACAACUCGAUUCUCGUCGUAUAACCCAUUGUUGUUAGUCUGAGCGCUCUUACAACU